This 1605-nucleotide long non-coding RNA is filed under the name Homo sapiens (human). Its description in RNAcentral is "HSALNT0059326". Lineage: Eukaryota; Metazoa; Chordata; Mammalia; Primates; Hominidae. The record is from RNAcentral.
UAGGAGAAGAAGUUCUGAGAAGACUGACUACAGAUUGGCUGGCCUGGCUGACCCAGGAACUUCUGAGCAGACUGACCUCAGAUUGUAUGGCCUCGUUGACCACAAAACAUCUGUAAAGACUCACCACCAAGUGUACGGCCAAGCCACUGAACUAGCUGAACACCAGGCUAUUGACCAAGCUCAUAGUAAUGCUGAUCAACCUCCAGUUGACAAUGCUCACUACACUGAAUCUGACCAGACUGACCACUUAGCAGACAGACAAGCUAAUCAUAAAGACCAGCUGUCUUACUAUGAAACACGUGGCCAGUCUGAAGACAGAAUAUUUCCCCAGUUAGGCAACAGCAAAGAGGACAAAGAGGCUGACUACAGAGUACAACCCUGCAAAUUUGAGGAUAGCCAAGUAGACCUCAAUUCCAAGCCUUCAGUUGAAAUGGAAACUCAGAAUGCAACCACUAUCCCACCCUACAACCCAGUUGAUGCCAGAUUCACCAGUAACUUCCAAGCAAAAGACCAAGCUCUUUUCCCAAGACUCCCCUCCAUCUCAUCCAAAUUGAACUAUACCAGCAGUCAAGAAAAAACUCAAGCCAUAGUAACCAAAUCUCAGAUUACUGAAAACUUAGUCUAUGAAAAGCCAGAGGACCCCCUGAAUUUUAUGCUGUGCCAGGUAUAGAAUUGGAGAAAAAGAACAACCUUUUUAUUCUCUUUAUUGUAAAAUACAGCACACAUACAGCAAAGUGUAUAGAACAAAGUGCAGGAAAUGAUGAAAAAGAGAGACAAAAUGUGAAAUCUACAAAGAACGAGCCUCUCUUCAGUAUUGUUUACAAUCAUGUGUCAAUACUAUGUUCUGUUUUCCAUCUGAAAAAAAAAUGGUUUUGAAUAGACAUUAGUGGUGACUCUACCUGAAUGCAUUAUUAAUUUUUAAGUAAAAAAUCUAUAGAAUAUCUAUGUAAAAUUUACAUAACAAUUACAGAUAUCUCUGGAUAAUCAUACAAAAAUAUACACAUUAUACUUAUGCAUGCAUUGAUAUUUCAAUACUCAUUCCCCUAAAUCUCUGAAUAAGUCCACAAAUCACAACUAGCAAUUUAUAUGUACUUCUUAUAAAGCAUAUAAAUCUGUCUCCAAGCUAUUUACAAAAUGUCUAAUCAAAAAAUGUGUGAAAAAGAAUUUAUCACAGCAUUUUUUUCUUAAUGAAAGAUUAUUGUUGUAAUAUCUCUUAUUUAUUUUUGCUGUUUCUUCUUUAACCUUGUUUGUUAUAUUCUGCCAUUAGUGGAUGUGAUUCUAAUCUUUUCCUAUGGAUAGCUCACUUCUGAUUUGUAACCUACAGCAAAACUCAAACAUGUUAUACUGCUCCGUACACACCUGUGGGUGAGGCAGAACAUCACUUUCUCAUUACCUUUUCCCUUAAAGAGUAUCUGCAUCAUGUGGAAUGUAUAACCAGUUCAACUGGUAUUUUAAUGCAAAAAUUCUUAACUUGGUCUGUCUGGUAUGAGUGUGUCUGCCUAAAGAUCAUAACUGAGAUGAUCAUCUGAUACUACUUUUGUGAUAUGAACCCUCCAUUUAAUUUCUAUUUGAACAUUACAGGAGACUUGAGUUUUUACAAUGUUU